GGCACUUCACUGCGAAAACACAACAGAGGAGAAAGACCAAACGAUCCACUCAGGUUCUAUUUGCAAAAGACUGAGAACAGAGCCAGCCACAGGAUACAGCCAUGUACCAGCUGCCAAAAACAAGGGCAAACACCUGGGAGUAUGAACCCUCUUUCAUGACAGGAGAGCUGGUGGAGUUUGAGGGAAGCAGCACAGAGCAGAGCAUGGAGGAGUUUGUCCAGCUGUUCAAAUCCAGAAGCCGGUGAUAAAGAGACACCUCCGAGAACUCAAAGAGAUUGCGGAUGGCUUGGAUGAGGCCAGCAUGAACGCAGCCCUUGCUAAGACUAUUGGGAGCUUCGUAGGGGCGGCCGGGGGGAUCAUGACCCUAGCAGGGCUAUUCCUGGACCCCGAGUCACCCACAGCCUGCAGUUUGCAAGAUAUCGGAGAGAAAGGGGUCACCUUAGGACAGUUUGCCAAAACCGCCACUGAUAUAACCCAGGCCGUCAGUGAGAGAACACAUAACCAAAGAGCAGAUGAGAUACCCAGACCACCCCCCCAACCAGAGUUGGAUGCUUCUGUCAUCACCAAUUGACGGUUGUGUAUCACUCCUAUCGUUACGCCUUCGCUCAAGUGAGAGGCCAGCGUAGCGCUUCCCAGCAUAGAUGAGACACGGUCAGCCGACAGUGUCUGUCGCGCUUGGGGUGCAGCCAAAGGCACUGGGCCACACUUGGAUCGGGCGCUUGGAGUAACCUUUGUUGGGUGGGUGAUGAAGCCACGGCCAUCAGACCCAAUAGUUUUUAACACAACACCAAUUGUACUGUGAACCCUUGUUGAACAGGGCCAGACAGUUGCAAAUGACAGCUACUCUGUCGUCUGACAGAUAGGCUUGCAUCGUAUGGGACUCCAGCCGGAGACUCAAGUAGAUUUAAUUGGCUCUGGCAUUGUUGAGGGUGAGACCCAGCCUCAAACAGAUGCUUCAUCACAAACAGCUGUGUGGGCCACUGCUCCUUCCUGUGACUGGGCAGAUCAACCAGUCAUCCAGGUAAUUCAUCACCCUGAUCACUUGCAGCCACAAGGGAGCUAGGAUGGCAUCCAUGCACUUUGAAACGUGCGGGGUAAGGAGAGGCUGAAUCACAGCACGGAAAACUCAGGACGCUCCCCUGUAAGGCGGAGCGGAGACACUUCCUGUGUGCUGGACCCAUAGGAACGUGGAAUCCGCGUUCUUUCGGUCCAGUGUGAUAAACCAUUCGCCGGGCCGGACCGCCUGCCGAGUACAGCGUACUCCAGCAUCUUGUUCUCUACCUGCCGAGGCACCUUGUGUUUUCGGUGGGAGCGCUGCAGCAAUUCCUCAACCGCUGGUCCAAAGUAAUGGUCAGGGGAGGUAGGGGCUGCUUUUGAAGGAUGGAGCCACUUUCCCAUGAGGCUGCAACAUAAUCGCAGUGGUCCUCCUCAGCAAAGCUGAAAUCUGAUUCUGUAACAUCUGGGGUGAUCAUAGCAAGGGCUUGAGCCUGCUGCCUGGCCAGGGGCUCCCAACGCCGUGUACGGCUCAGCCAUGUAUUGAAGCACUCAGGCACAAAGGUUGCAGAUGCACCAAGAACACUGAGUGACAUAGAAUACACUACUGGUGCACCGAAGCAUCAGGGACACCGAGUGCAGAUGUUAUUGACAUGCUGUGGCACUAAGCACCGAGGCAUGGAGCAUCUAAACACCGAGGGCACCAGAGCACUGAGAGGUGCCCAGCCUUAACCGUGUGAAGUCAACACAACCCGAGGUAGCGCAUAGCUUAUACCGGGGUGGAUACACAGGCUCGAGUGGCUGUGGUAGGCAAACAGGAGAGCAGUACAGGGGAGUGCACGGUGCUGCACCCUGGUGCAGAGCGGUGAUAACCUGGUCCUGGACCGCGUACAGUCACACAACGUGGCAGCGCAUAGCGUAUGCCAGAGUGAAGCACAGGCUCAAGGAGCUGCAGGAGCUGCGGCGCGUUAGGCAGGAAUAAAAGUGUACUGCUUUCUUAACUGCAAAGGCAGUAAUAGGAAAAAAUACAGGCUUAUACACACAGCCAUUCAACUAUGGGAGA
Molecule: long non-coding RNA, 2056 nt
Organism: Acipenser ruthenus (sterlet)
Lineage: Eukaryota; Metazoa; Chordata; Actinopteri; Acipenseriformes; Acipenseridae
Exons: 3
Source: RefSeq, a predicted model, not a curated record